This is a long non-coding RNA of Sapajus apella (tufted capuchin), 6069 nucleotides long. RefSeq lists it as uncharacterized. The record is from RefSeq and is a predicted model, not a curated record. The transcript has 2 exons. Lineage: Eukaryota; Metazoa; Chordata; Mammalia; Primates; Cebidae.
GGACUGCCCACCGGGUCUCGCUGCAGCCCAGACUCCCAGGCUCGCAGACGCUCGCGAGGGGCAGGGGCCGGCAGGCAGCAAUCCUUGCAUCCCAGCUUAAUCCUGCCUUACGCUCUAGAACCUCCCUGCCCCAGGGUCUAACUGUGAUUCACUUCUUGCGCUAAUUUUUGUCACUGUUCCGCCCUCGGGACGCAGCCCCCGCUCCCCCGCACCUUUGAGAGGGGUGAGAGGGCAUGCUGCUGUCUGGAAGGGCCUGAGGGUGGAGGGGUGGUGCCCAGGGAACGCCCCCCUUCCUUUCUCCUCCAUCCUUGCUUUCCCAACUCAGGCAUUAGGUGUUGUUCCAGCCUGUCCGGGACUGGGCCACUAGCUUUGGUGAUAUAUAUGUAUCAUAAGGAUUCCAUGUUCAUUUUUAUCCACAGACACAAGUUACUUUGUCCCUUGGUUUCUUCUUAUCUACAGAAAAAAACAAAACAAAAAAAGCAUAUAUAUCCAUAUAUAUAUAUAUAUUUUUUUUUUUCUGCUGAGACUAAGUAACUGAGUUGAUUUUCCCAAGGUCACAGAACAGGUUCUUCCUACAGAUAAGAAAGAAUCCAGUCUUUCCACUUGAGCUUAAUACUGAGCUUGUGCCUGCAGUAUGCUGCUACUUAGCCAAGUAGGUGAAGGUGAUGGGAGAAGGAAGCCAUAGGAGGGAAUGUGGCAAACUCCUCAUAGUGUGACUAUUACAUGAUUUUUACCAUUUCUGCAAGUUUCAUGUGAUGUUCUAAAGAUCCAGUGUUUCUCAUCAGAAUAUCAGGAAAUUGUAGGGAAACAUGUAUUGCUUCCUUGUCUAAUAACUUCUCACGUACAUGUUUGAGCUGACAUUUUUGGAAGUAUGUCUUUCCUUGUGGGUAAGAAUGAAGAUUUAUUGAGUGCUUACCAGGGCCAGGCACUGUGUGUACGUUUUUUCAUCUCAUUUAAGGCUUAGAACAACCUUAAAAGGUUAGUAAUGUUUUUAUUCCCGUUUUGCAGUUAGGUUAAUGGAAGUCUUGAGACAGUUUGUCCAAGAUUACACAGAUAAGUUAGUGGUAGCUCCAAAGCUCCAGCUUUUGAAUCUAAUUGGUCUUUCCAGAGCUUCCAGAGAUUUCAGAGCUUCUAGUCUAAACAAUGUACUAAAAUGUGUGUAGAUUUACUAGGAGGGUGUCUCAUCUAACAGUAGGUACUAUAAAGGUUAAUAGUAGGGUUUUUUUUUUUCCCACCACCAAAAUGAGCCCUCAAUUCUGUCUUCAAAGCAAGGAAAUUUUGGCCUAAUACUUGAGAAACAGUGCAGGUUUUCUUAAUCCACCUUUCCAUAGUUGUAAAUUUACUAAAAUCUAAGUAAAAUGAUACCAUGUUUAUAAGCUUAUUCCUAUCAUAAAAAUAAUACAAGCAUAUUACAGAUAAUUUGGAUAAUGGAGAAAAAGUAAAAAAAAAAAAAUCACCCACUAUAGUAAAUAUUGCUAACAUUUUGGUGUGUAUCCUUUCUCUUUUUUUUUUUUUUCAUUUUGUUUUGAUGUGUAUCCUUACAGGUAUUUCCUUUCAGUUUAGUGUAGUAUUUUCCUACUUUUAGUUUUAAUACAAAUACAACUUAUUUAAUCAGAAGCAUUUUCCUAGAAUGUAGUUUUUAUAAUGUUCUUGAGAAUUUAGAAGAAAUGUUCCGUUGAGUAAAGAUGCUACAAUUCUUUUACAAGUUAAAAUCUUGACCCUGGAAUCUGAUUGUCCUAAGCUUGAUCUUGUUUUGGCUUUCUGUAACUUUGGAGUUAUCCUCUAUACGCCUCAGGUUCUUCAUAUGCAAGUGGUUAAAAAUAAUACUUACUUCAGAAGGUUGUUAUGAGGGCUACAUAAAACAAUAUUAGUGAUAUACUUAACACGAUGUUUGACAACUGAGAAGCAAGCAUUCAUUCAAGAAGUGGAACCUUUAAAUAAUUACCAUUAUGUUUUUGUUGUUACAGUUUUGCAAUUUUAUAAAUAAUGUAGAUAUAAGCAUUUCAUGUAUAUGGCUUUUAUGUAUCUGAGAUUAUUUCUUUAGGAUAGAGUCCUGAAUGUUUUAAUGCAUAGUUCAAAUUUAUACUCCAGUUUAUACCCCAUGAUAUGUAUAAGAGUGUGAGUAUUGGAUGUUAAUGCUAAAAUCAGGUGUGUGCAUGUACAUUCUUGGGUAUUUUGUGCUAACUGUACUUUGUUUUACUUUUUGUUUCAUUUCCAUUGAGGAAUAUUUUCUUAUGUUUUUGUUAACUUGACUUAUUUUUAAAAGUAUACUCAGUAUUUUUCCCAUCAAUACCAAUACUAUCUAUCAUUAUUGCAUAGCUGCUCUUUUCCAGGUGUUGUGUUAGACAUCAGUUUAUAAUCUUCACAGUAACCUUGUGAGCUAGAUAUUAUUAUGCUCAUUUUAAAGAUGAGAAAAUUGAGGCUCAGAAGUGUUAGUACUUGCCCAAGUCUGGUAAGUAGCAAAGCCAGAGUUUGAAUCGUGAUGUGUUUGACUCCAAAGCCUCCCAUACUACUUAUAUACUAAUAUUUUGUGUAUUAAAAAUAUUGAAAAAGAUACUUUCUGCUUUUCACAUGUGCUGCAAAUACUUUUGACUCUUUUAUUUUGGUUGUUUUGACAUAUAAAAGGUACUCCUUAAAUAGGAGGUAGUCAGAUUAGAUUCUGAGUAGGUGACACUGAUGCUGCUUUAUGCUGGUAUGUUUGCUGCCUUUAUUACACUGUGCUGUUUUCUGAGAACAGUUCAUCCUGGCCUUUCCAUGCCCCUGAUUCUUGGGCAUUAUAUGGAUGUGAGCUUGUUUAUUCAGUCAUUCUAUGGAUUUUUAUUUUCUUCUGGAUGCCAGACUCUGCUAGCUGCUAAGGAUAUGAUCGUGGACCUGUUGGAGGGUAAUCUGAAUCUUCUUUUUGGACACUUUGUACCUUUGUCUGCCAGGAAAUUCAAAGCUUUUAUAGUAUUUUCAUCCAGGGUUGGGCUACCCACAAGAAGGCCAUCUGUAUACUGGAAUAUACUCCCAUUCCUUAAUUGCAAACCUCUCAGAUCCCACUCUAAGGCUCAAGCAAAGAAAAGGGGGCUAUCCUGAAAACCCUGGGGGAGCACUGUCCAAAUGUAUUGUUGUUUUUCUUUGGUAUUAGGAUUUUCCCAUUCAAAGGCAAAAAGGUAUUGGGAUUCUGGGGCCAGAGAAGUGGAAAAGAAAUCUUUUAGGUCUAGGACUGAGAACAUUUAGCAUCCCCUGGCACCUGAACCAGGAGAGUAUAUGGAUCUGCCACCAAUGAGUGGACAGAGAUAACGGCCUCAUUAAUUAUUCUGAAGUCUUGUAGUAGCCAGUAAUACCCGGAAGGCUUUAGAACAGCAAAGGUAGGGAUAUUAUAGGGAGAACUUCAGGAUCUUAAGAGCCCAUAUAUAAGUACUACCUCAGCUGUGGAUGCUAGGCCUUUCCUUGCUUCCAGCUUAAUUAGGUAUUGUUUUUGAUUGGGAAAAUAAAUAGCUGGGGAUUUUUAAGCUGUAUUUUGACUGGCAUUGCUGUUUUAGCCUGUCCUGGUUUUCCAGUAUACCAUGACAGUGGGUUAACCUGUUUAUUAAUAUGUCUGGGACAUUGUCUGUAUUUUUGACUAUUAGCAGUAUCACCAGAUGAUGCUUAAAUUGUAGUAGUGACCCUAUUUUAACCACAUAUUAGUACGUAUAUCUCUUUUCAACAGCAGGACUAGACAGCUUGGUACUAAUAGAAAUUCCUGUUGGAAGAUUUGUUUCUCAAAUUGACAAAUGAAAGGAGGAGUAAAGGAUCUUAUUUAUGGCUUUCCUUCUAUUCCCAUAAUGCUUGUGGCUUGGGAGGAAAGUUUUCCAACAUAAGCAGCAAGGAAAGAAACUGAAUUUGUGUAGAAGAGAAACUGAACUUGGAUGCCCAUGACAUCCAGUUACCUGGGGCUCCUGAGUAGUAAUUAUGAUGUUCCUGAACAGUGGUGUUGAGGAAGACCCCGGGCCCCUUCAGUCUUCAUCUGAUUUUUCUUUUUGGACUGCUAGAGUUUUGCCUAACUGAACCCCUAGGUGAGAGCAGGACCAGUCAGUCUUCCAGUGCCAGGGGUCAUAACUAGUGCCCUCACAUUUUUGGUAGGGGACUGGCAAGGGCUCUCUACAGUCCUUUAUCCAAUUCUCAUUUUUCUUGCAUUUGAAGCAAGAGCCUUUGCUGUCUAGAUUAUCAGAGGCAAGCAAAACCAACCAAAUUUCAAGUGGCUGGUGUGUUCCAUCAAUUCCUGCAGGCCUGAAAUAGGUAGCCUAGGAAUUCCAGAUAAAUAGAACACAUGAUGACUUGCUGGAAAUUCACAGGAAACAAAAAUAACUAUUCACAGAAACAAAUAAAAGCCUUCCACUAAGAACUAAAACAACAACAACAACAACAACAACAACUGUGAUUUUAUUUAUAUGCAUAUACAACAAGUAAAACCUGAAGGAGAUCAAAUGGCAAACAAAUGAAUAUUAGAUGCAAAAACAAACAGGAAACCAUCCCUACAUUUUUCCUACUUAGUCCACUCUGGAGGCUACAGUGUUAUCCAGAGCCCCCCAAAAAUCCACAUAAUGAAUAUUUUAUUCCUGAUACACAACUCAAUAUCCCUAAUUCUACCAGUAUCAGCAUACAUACUGUCCAAUCAAGAAAUUCACUCUAGGCACAUGAUCAGUAAGCACUCCAGUACCAGUUUGUUUAGUAAAGUUAUACUUAAGUCAUUUAAACUUGAAAAUUGUUUAGACUUACUUAAUUUAUGAGCUCUCCCUUAAUUAUAAGCCAAUUUGGUAGACACGACAUAUAACAAAUGUACAUACAAAUAAACACAUCUAGACAUGGAUAUACACACACAUAUGAGGAUCCAGUAGCUUUUACCUUGGAAUUCUAGCCAUGAAAUAGCAAUACAAGCCCACUGGUUUUACUUUGUUUGCCCCAAUGGAUAAUCCAAUGAAGGCUGUGAACCAAAAUUUUGGGUAAAGCAGUUUCCCUGGUAGUUUGAUUUUUAAAGGGCAAACCUCUCCAGACUCCAAACACCGGGACCAAACAGCACUAAAGGAGAACAUCACAUACUAACCAGGCCUGAUCCUACUUAGAACAGCAGUACAAAAGCCUGGAUACAUGCACCUCCAUCCCACUGUCCUAUUCAACAGCAAACUCCAGAAUUUCAAACAAUAAUGGGGGCCAACAGUAUUGCAAAAGAAUAGCAAGUUUACUGAAUCCCUAUUUCCCAUGACUAUAUCAAACACACAAAAACAAUUCCCAGAACACAGUCCAACUGCUGCAGCAACAAAUAAGCCCCAAGAAUGUCCAAACUGUCUCAUUGUCACCUGCAAGAGAAAAUUCCAGGGAGGCCUUUCACUAGACCUCAGAGCCUCUGCUGAGGGCAUCCCCUAUGGAGAGGUUCAGGUCUGGAGUUGGAUUCCCCGGGGUGUCCCCUUUUGGGGUCAAAUCUUAGAGUGUCAGACAUCUCUGACUUUAGUUGGGCAUGGGUGCUGCUUUGUGUGUUUUCCCCCCAGAGGUGAUGGCCUACUAUGAACUUUGUUUUGUCCCUGGAUAAAGGCCUCGACUUCUAGCAUCCUUAUAGUUUGAUAAAGCCACACUUUCCUUUGCUUCCCAUUCCACUAGAUUGAUAGCCAUGAACUUCAAUGAUAGAAACCAGAGGCUGGGUGCAUUUCUUUUGUCCUUAGCCGGUCAGAGUAGGAUAAAGGAGGUCAAAACUUCUAAGAAACAUUAUUGUUUACCAUUACUGGUUAACUCUAUAGGGUAAUUUGGCUUAAGAACCCUGUAGGAGAAUUUAUCAUAAGAAAAGAAGGUUUAAGUCACCUGAAAUGUGUAAAUUCACCCUGUGAGCUGCUGCAGCCAAUUGCAACACACGUAGGGAUCAGGGACUAUAGCCGGGGACUAGGCAGCUUGGUACUACUAGAAAUUCCUCAUAGAAUUCCUAAUAGGUACUAAUAGAAAAGAGUCCUCUGCUUCUCCCUUGUGAUAUGGGCAGCUAUCCCCAUUUACCCCUUGGCCUUCAGGUAACACUGGAAAGUGGCCCUGGCCAGUUGCCCACAAUUACUAAGGAGCGACUAG